RNAcentral lists this ribosomal RNA (253 nucleotides) under uncultured bacterium. RNAcentral describes it as "partial 16S ribosomal RNA". It matches the Rfam family "Bacterial small subunit ribosomal RNA", at positions 524 to 776 of the family's 1533-position model. The record is from RNAcentral.
UACGUAGGGCGCGAGCGUUAAUCGGAAUUACUGGGCGUAAAGCGUGCGCAGGCGGUUAUGUAAGACAGAUGUGAGAUCCCCGGGCUCAACCUGGGGACUGCAUUUGUGACUGCAUAGCUAGAGUACGGUAGAGGGGGAUGGAAUUCCGCGUGUAGCAGUGAAAUGCGUAGAUAUGCGGAGGAACACCGAUGGCGAAGGCAAUCCCCUGGACCUGUACUGACGCUCAUGCACGAAAGCGUGGGGAGCAAACAGG